Molecule: non-coding RNA, 855 nt
Organism: Nothobranchius furzeri (turquoise killifish)
Lineage: Eukaryota; Metazoa; Chordata; Actinopteri; Cyprinodontiformes; Nothobranchiidae
Source: RefSeq, a predicted model, not a curated record
CAGGCUCAACCAAUCAGAGUGAGAGCUGCGUUUUUCCCUCGGCUUUCAGUCCGCUGCUGUCUGCAGUUCGCGAUGGCUGAACGAGCUGGGGCACUGUUUAGACCAGCGGUACUCAGCUGACAGUCUGUGGGCCACGUCCAGCCCGCAGGUUCAUUCUUUGUGGCCCUUGGUCCACCAGGACAGGGAUGCACUGACAUCUGGCCAGGUCAGAUGUCUUACCUGUCGUAUUCCGAUGCCAGGAAAAGGCAGAUUGCAAUGCUGAGAUGGUUCUGGACCACAUCACCUGGCCAGAUGAAGAAGAGCUGGAGGAUGACAGCGAAUCUCCUCUUGCUGUGAAAUGUUAGAUCACAAGCUACUUGCGUAGAUUUGUUGAGACAGUGUAUGAAGAGCAAAGGAAGCAGCUCGUGAAGUUUUGGGUUGGAUGGGAGAAACCCAUGAAGGAUAUGAAAGUGGAAAUAAUGCAGGCAGACCAUCCAACCUCAUCUAGCUGCUUCCAUAUUCUACGUCUGCCCUGCCACUACACAACAUUUGAUGUUUCGCAAUCAUCUUGAAAGUUGCAUAGCAACCAAUGUUCAUGGUUUUGGAUUGAUCUAAAGUUUAACGUCAUGCUAUUUGCCAGUGCUGUUCAGGUUAUACCAAACAAAUCUUUUUUUUAUUUAAUCAUCAAGUUACAGCUGAAAGUUUCAGGAAUAUUGAGUUACAAGUAAGGCACAGCUGUGUUAUAUGAUAAAUGUUUUAUUGUAAUUUUACAAGUAGAGAAAUCAUUUUCAAGAUUGCAUUUUAUACAUAUGCAACAAACAAAACGUUGCUGCAUCCAGGGUCAUGACAAUAGAACAAUAUUUUUGUAGCUUAAUG